This 66-nucleotide transfer RNA is filed under the name Siphluriscus chinensis. RNAcentral's name for it is "tRNA-His". Lineage: Eukaryota; Metazoa; Arthropoda; Insecta; Ephemeroptera; Siphlonuridae. The record is from RNAcentral.
GUUUGGGUAGUUUAUAAAAAAUAUUGAUUUGUGAUGUCAAAGAUGAAUUUUUUUUUUCUCCAGACU